This 763-nucleotide ribosomal RNA is filed under the name Halomonas sp. M6-5A. RNAcentral describes it as "bacterial SSU rRNA". It matches the Rfam family "Bacterial small subunit ribosomal RNA", at positions 61 to 821 of the family's 1533-position model. The record is from RNAcentral. Lineage: Bacteria; Pseudomonadati; Pseudomonadota; Gammaproteobacteria; Oceanospirillales; Halomonadaceae.
GUCGAGCGGUAACAGAUCUAGCUUGCUAGAUGCUGACGAGCGGCGGACGGGUGAGUAAUGCAUAGGAAUCUGCCCGGUAGUGGGGGAUAACCUGGGGAAACCCAGGCUAAUACCGCAUACGUCCUACGGGAGAAAGGGGGCUUCGGCUCCCGCUAUUGGAUGAGCCUAUGUCGGAUUAGCUAGUUGGUGAGGUAAUGGCUCACCAAGGCAACGAUCCGUAGCUGGUCUGAGAGGAUGAUCAGCCACAUCGGGACUGAGACACGGCCCGAACUCCUACGGGAGGCAGCAGUGGGGAAUAUUGGACAAUGGGCGCAAGCCUGAUCCAGCCAUGCCGCGUGUGUGAAGAAGGCCUUCGGGUUGUAAAGCACUUUCAGCGAGGAAGAACGCCUAGGGGUUAAUACCCACUAGGAAAGACAUCACUCGCAGAAGAAGCACCGGCUAACUCCGUGCCAGCAGCCGCGGUAAUACGGAGGGUGCGAGCGUUAAUCGGAAUUACUGGGCGUAAAGCGCGCGUAGGUGGCUUGAUAAGCCGGUUGUGAAAGCCCCGGGCUCAACCUGGGAACGGCAUCCGGAACUGUCAAGCUAGAGUGCAGGAGAGGAAGGUAGAAUUCCCGGUGUAGCGGUGAAAUGCGUAGAGAUCGGGAGGAAUACCAGUGGCGAAGGCGGCCUUCUGGACUGACACUGACACUGAGGUGCGAAAGCGUGGGUAGCAAACAGGAUUAGAUACCCUGGUAGUCCACGCCGUAAACGAUGUCGACCAGCC